UGGGGAAUUUUGGACAAUGGGGGAAACCCUGAUCCAGCCAUCCCGCGUGUGCGAUGAAGGCCUUCGGGUUGUAAAGCACUUUUGUCAGGAAAGAAACGUCAUGGGUUAAUACCCCGUGAAACUGACGGUACCUGCAGAAUAAGCACCGGCUAACUACGUGCCAGCAGCCGCGGUAAUACGUAGGGUGCAAGCGUUAAUCGGAAUUACUGGGCGUAAAGCGUGCGCAGGCGGUUCGGAAAGAAAGAUGUGAAAUCCCAGAGCUCAACUUUGGAACUGCAUUUUUAACUACCGGGCUAGAGUGUGUCAGAGGGAGGUGUAAUUCCGCGUGUAGCAGUGAAAUGCGUAGAUAUGCGGAGUAACACCGAUAGCGAAGGCAGCCUCCUGGGAUAACACUGACGCUCAUGCACGAAAGCGUGGGGAGCGAACAGG
RNAcentral lists this ribosomal RNA (429 nucleotides) under Acidobacteriota bacterium. Its description in RNAcentral is "Acidobacteria bacterium partial 16S ribosomal RNA". It matches the Rfam family "Bacterial small subunit ribosomal RNA", at positions 355 to 776 of the family's 1533-position model. Lineage: Bacteria; Pseudomonadati; Acidobacteriota. The record is from RNAcentral.